Oncorhynchus tshawytscha (Chinook salmon) is the source of this 2391-nucleotide long non-coding RNA. The record is from Ensembl. NCBI's taxonomy places the organism in Eukaryota, Metazoa, Chordata, Actinopteri, Salmoniformes, Salmonidae.
GGUUAAGGUACUGGUUAAGGAUUGGAUAGGGUUAAGGUACUGGUCAAGGUUUGGAUAGGGUUAAGGUACUGGUUAAGGAUUGGAUAGGGUUAAGGUACUGGUCAAGGUUUGGAUAGGGUUAAAGUACUGGUUAAGGAUUGGUUAGGGUUAAGGUACUGGUCAAGGUUUGGAUAGGGUUAAGGUACUGGUUAAGGAUUGGAUAGGGUUAAGGUACUGGUCAAGGUUUGGAUAGGGUUAAGGUACUGGUUAAGGAUUGGAUAGGGUUAAGGUACUGGUCAAGGUUUGGAUAGGGUUAAAGUACUGGUUAAGGAUUGGUUAGGGUUAAGGUACUGGUCAAGGUUUGGAUAGGGUUAAGGUACUGGUUAAGGAUUGGAUAGGGUUAAGGUACUGGUUAAGGAUUGGAUAGGUUUAAGGUACUGGUCAAGGUUUGGAUAGGGUUAAGGUACUGGUCAAGGUUUGGAUAGGGUUAAGGUACUGGUUAAGGAUUGGAUAGGGUUAAGGUACUGGUCAAGGAUUGGAUAGGGUUAAGGUACUGGUUAAGGAUUGGAUAGGGUUAAGGUACUGGUCAAGGUUUGGAUAGGGUUAAGGUACUGGUUAAGGAUUGGAUAGGGUUAAGGUACUGGUCAAGGUUUGGAUAGGGCUAAGGUACUGGUUAAGGAUUCUAUAGGGUUAAGACAUUGAGUUUAGUCUCUCAUUCUGAAUGGUUAAGGUAAAGGUCAAGGUUUGGAUAGGGUUAAGUUAAAACCAACUAUAAAAACCAGUGUCUGUGACCAGGAUCAAACACACAGCCUUCUGAUCCAGAGGUAUGGGAUUCCACCUCUCCAUCCGCUCAUCCACAACACUCCAGCAAAACCCAGGCCUACUUGAUGGUAAUAGUGCUCACUGUUGCCUCUAGUGGCUGGUUUUGAAGGCAUUUCCCGAUGUCUUCAGGAAAGCGAUAGACGUCCAAUUUCAACAAUAAUCUUGAACGAACUGGCUGCACACACACACACACACACACACACACACACACACACACAAUGCCUCGGAUCCCUAAGCGCUUCCUGCUAGCCGACCUGUGAAUGUCUAUCUGCUAGGAGGGCUCUUACUCUGGCCCUUUGCCUCAUACUUGGAGAUUGCCCCACAUUUGGAGGAGGGAUGGGAUGAUGGUACAAGUCAGUUAGUAUGACGCGAGGGCACUGAGGGAGUGUCCCAAAUGUCAGCCUAUUACCUAUAGUGCACUACUUUUGCCCAGGGUUCAUAGGGAAGAGGAUGCCAUUUGGUAUGGUACCUACCUACUGCAUCAUUUUAAAGAUACUGUAUAGAUAGAUAUAUACAGUACCAGUCAAAGUUUGGACUCAGCUACUCAAUCAAGGUUUUUUCUUUGUUUUGUACUAUUUUGUACAAAACUAUGACACAUAUGGAAUCAUGCAGUAACCAAAAAAGUGUAAAACAAAUCAAAAUAUAAUUUAUAUUUGAGAUUCUUCAAAGUAGCCACCCCUUGCCUCGAUAACAGCUUUGCACACUCUUGGCAUUCUCUCAACCGGCUUCAUGAGGUAGUCACCUGGAAUGCAUUUCAAUUAACAUGUGUGCCUUGUUAAAAGUUAAUUUGUGGAAUUUCUUUCCUUCUUUAAUGAGUUUGAGCCAAUCAGUUGUGUUUUGACAAGGUAGGGGUGGUAUACAGGUAAAAGACAAAGUCCAUAUUAUGGCAACAACAGCUAAGCAAAGAGAAACAACAGUGGGUCCAAACUUUUGACUGGUACUAUAUGUAGUGCACUACUUUUGACCAGGGUUCAUAUAUGUAGUGCACUACUUUUGACCAGGGUUCAUAUAUGUAGUGCACUACUUUUGGCCAGGGUUCAAAUAUGUAGUGCACUACUUUUGGCCAGGGUUCAUAUAUGUAGUGCACUACUUUUGACCAGGGUUCAUAUAUGUAGUGCACUACUUUUGGCCAGGGUUCAAAUAUGUAGUGCACUACUUUUGGCCAGGGUUCAUAUAUGUAGUGCACUACUUUUGACCAGGGUUCAUAUAUGUAGUGCACUACUUUUGGCCAGGGUUCAUAUAUGUAGUGCACUACUUUUGGCCAGGGUUCAUAUAUGUAGUGCACUACUUCUGACCAGGGUUCAUAUAUGUAGUGCACUACAUUUGACCAGGGUUCAUAUAUGUAGUGCACUACUUUUGACCAGGGCUGCUGUUUAACAGGCUCCCAACCAGCUGUGCUAUUGUGUUAGUUUUUUCGCAUUGUUAGUAACUUGUUUUGUACAUAAUGUUGCUUCUACCGUCUCUUAUGACCGGAAAGAGCUUCUGGACGUCAGAACGGCGAUUCCUCACCUCGAACUGGAUGAAGAUUUUUUCUUUAAUGAGUCCGAUGCAAAGGAUUUACUGCUUUGUCAAGGUCCAAAUCCCCGUCAU